GAGGCCUUAGAAGAUUAGGAUGGGAAAAGUUGAGUAGAAAGAACUUCAAGAAUGUCCCUUCCUUCAACGACAUGCAUCUCAUACAACUGCUGUUCUGUGGAAGAUCUUCUAGAAAACCAGAAAGUGUUUAUAAAAUAUAUUAUGUAAAGGAUUUUUAAAUGGAGCCACUUACAAUGAUAUCACUGAUCUAGGAGACAAAUUAUGAAUUCUAGGAGCAGUUACCUUCAUCUAAGUUGUGCGGCCUUGGGCUCUGCUCUGCUUUUGCUGACACUUUUCCACUGAAGACACCUUCUGUGAAGACCUGGUUGAGUCUUGGCGUAGUUGAAUUUGUUCUGAGAGUUCUCUCUGUCAUUCUCUAUGACACUCUGUCAAAGAUGCCUGAGAUAAAAUUAUUUCUACAGGCACUAGGAUGUCGCUGGCAUUUAAGGAAGUCACCGUGGGAAGACAGCCCCAGGUGAACCUGGCUUUUUAAAAAAAUUAUUAUUAUUAUUUACACUUAAUCACUGUAUAUCAUUGCUCAGCUUUUGAUGUCAGGGUCACCUCUGUGCCAGGUGUUGAACUCACAGCUUUUCUACAUGUCCCCUGAAGGAAACACAUGGUCAUCCUUAAGCAGAGCAUUCACCAUGCCAUUGCUCUCUGCAAACUGUAACAUGCAGUCUAUUUCCUGUCAUCUGUAGUUGUUAACUCUACAUAACCUGGACUUGAUUAACCUGCCUGAGCCCUCCAGCCUGUUUCUCAGUGAUGCCAUCUUCCUCUGUGCUGCCAUAGUGCCCUGAACUUAGGAUGGUCCUUCAACAGAACUCCCCUCUCUUAUUUCUUGGUGUAGCUCAGCUGAAACAUGACCUUUCCUAAACCCUUAUGCCAUUGCUCUGCCCUUCUCUGCUCUUCCAUCUCAUCUCUCUGCUCUUUUUAGCAUUUAUUAUAUUAACUAAUAGAGUCCUACUUAAAUGGUCUGUUCAGUUAUCCAUCUCCUGCAAUUAUGCUAUAAGCUCUUUGAAGACAGUGGCUUCCAGUAUCAACGCUGUGCCUGCUUCUAGUAGGUGCUCAAUAAAUGGCUGUUGAUUACCUGCUAAUCUCUAACACUGAAGUCACUGACUAUUUUGAAUGGUGUUGUCCCCACCUUCCAGACUAUUUAAUCCUAGCAGACAAAUAUUCUGCUUAAUAAGCACUGUCCCCUCAGUGUCUGGUUUGAAGAGGUAUCCAGUAAGUAAAGAAUUGAAGAAAAAUUCAAAUUUUUUAAUCCUGCACUUGAACCUGUUCACAGCUUGCCCUACCUUCUCUGAAAUACAUCCCUCUCCACAAUUGUCACAUUUUGUAUUUCUUUUUCAUUGUAUUUUUUUUUUUGAGAAGUUUUUGCUA
Molecule: long non-coding RNA, 1359 nt
Organism: Tupaia belangeri chinensis (Chinese tree shrew)
Lineage: Eukaryota; Metazoa; Chordata; Mammalia; Scandentia; Tupaiidae
Exons: 3
Source: RefSeq, a predicted model, not a curated record